ACGGCUCAGUAACACGUGGCUAACCUGCCCUUGGGACGAGGAUAACCCCGGGAAACUGGGGACAAUCCUUGAUAGGUGAAGAACUCUGGAAUGAGUCUUUGCCCAAAGGGCGUUGGAUCAUGCUUCCAGCGUUGCCCAAGGAUGGGGCCGCGACCGAUCAGGUUGUUGGUGAGGUAAUGGCCCACCAAGCCUAUUACCGGUGCGGGCCGUGAGAGCGGGAGCCCGGAGACGGGCACUGAGACAAGGGCCCAGGUCCUACGGGGCGCAGCAGUCGCGAAAACUUUGCAAUGCACGAAAGUGUGACAGGGUCAUCCCGAGUGCCGACCGCUGAGGUUGGCUUUUACCCAGUCUAGAAAGCUGGGGGAAUAAGGAGAGGGCAAGUCUGGUGUCAGCCGCCGCGGUAAUACCAGCUCUCCAAGUGGUGUGGACGUUUAUUGGGCCUAAAGCAUCCGUAGCUGGCUGGGCAAGUCCUCUGUUAAACCCACCGAUUUAAUCGUUGGCGUGCGGGGGAUACUGCUCGGCUAGGGGACGAGAGAGGCAGACGGUAUUCCCGGGGUAGGGGUGAAAUCCUAUAAUCCCGAGAAGACCACCAGUGGCGAAGGCUGUCUGCUAGAACGCGCCCGACGGUGAGGGAUGAAAGCUGGGGGAGCGAACCGGAUUAGAUACCCGGGUAGUCCCAGCUGUAAACAAUGCAAACUAGGUGUUUGGACGGCCACGUGCCGUUCUAGUGCCGCAGGGAAGCUGUUAAGUUGCCGCCUGGGA
This 762-nucleotide ribosomal RNA is filed under the name uncultured crenarchaeote. Its description in RNAcentral is "bacterial SSU rRNA". It matches the Rfam family "Archaeal small subunit ribosomal RNA", at positions 85 to 833 of the family's 1478-position model. Lineage: Archaea; Thermoproteati; Thermoproteota. The record is from RNAcentral.